AUUGAACGCUGGCGGCAUGCCUUACACAUGCAAGUCGAACGGUAACAGGUCUUUGGAUGCUGACGAGUGGCGAACGGGUGAGUAAUACAUCGGAACGUGCCCGAUCGUGGGGGAUAACGAAGCGAAAGCUUUGCUAAUACCGCAUAAGAUCCACGGAUGAAAGCAGGGGACCGCAAGGCCUUGCGCGGACGGAGCGGCCGAUGGCAGAUGAGGUAGUUGGUGGGAUAAAAGCUUACCAAGCCGACGAUCUGUAGCUGGUCUGAGAGGACGCCCAGCCACACUGGGACUGAGACACGGCCCAGACUCCUACGGGAGGCAGCAGUGGGGAAUUUUGGACAAUGGGCGAAAGCCUGAUCCAGCCAUGCCGCGUGCAGGAUGAAGGCCUUCGGGUUGUAAACUGCUUUUGUACGGAACGAAAAGACUCUUUCUAAUAAAGAGGGUCCAUGACGGUACCGUAAGAAUAAGCACCGGCUAACUACGUGCCAGCAGCCGCCGUAA
This 498-nucleotide ribosomal RNA is filed under the name uncultured bacterium. RNAcentral describes it as "partial 16S ribosomal RNA". It matches the Rfam family "Bacterial small subunit ribosomal RNA", at positions 30 to 523 of the family's 1533-position model. The record is from RNAcentral.